RNAcentral lists this ribosomal RNA (305 nucleotides) under uncultured bacterium. Its description in RNAcentral is "bacterial SSU rRNA". It matches the Rfam family "Bacterial small subunit ribosomal RNA", at positions 333 to 635 of the family's 1533-position model. The record is from RNAcentral.
GUGUGCCUACGGGGGGCAGCAGUGAGGAAUAUUGGUCAAUGGACGAGAGUCUGAACCAGCCAAGUAGCGUGAAGGAUGACUGCCCUAUGGGUUGUAAACUUCUUUUAUAUGGGAAUAAAGUUUUCCACGUGUGGAAUUUUGUAUGUACCAUAUGAAUAAGGAUCGGCUAACUCCGUGCCAGCAGCCGCGGUAAUACGGAGGAUCCGAGCGUUAUCCGGAUUUAUUGGGUUUAAAGGGAGCGUAGGUGGAUUGUUAAGUCAGUUGUGAAAGUUUGCGGCUCAACCGUAAACUUGCAGUUGAAACUG